Long non-coding RNA from Acanthopagrus latus (yellowfin seabream), 1144 nucleotides. RefSeq lists it as uncharacterized. The transcript is spliced from 3 exons. The record is from RefSeq and is a predicted model, not a curated record. Lineage: Eukaryota; Metazoa; Chordata; Actinopteri; Spariformes; Sparidae.
AGUAGGUCAAAGGUCAGAGGUCAAAGAACGGUCGCGCGCCUCUAAAAUGACGUAUGCAUAAUAACAGAAAUGUAGACGUUGAUUAACUGUCAGUUGGUGACGUACAGUUGCUGUUUAAGUUGGUGAAAGUUAAGCUAACUACGAGUUAAAAUGACUCGAAACAGUUUUAACACUAAUGAAGAUUAAAAUACGGCUUCUGUGUUUACCUGUGAAGCUUAAGACCGGGACAUUUUCCAGAGGAACAGAUGAUGAACAAACCAGAGCAAAAUAUACCAAGAAGCCAGACAAGACAGACAACUCCAGAGUUGUUUCAUGUCUGCUGGAUGUCAACUCCAGCACCACCCUCAACAUUCAAGAUUCAAGAUGUUUAUUGUCACCCCGGUUUUACUAGUACACUCGUGUGAAAAUCCUCUGUGUAGAGACUCCACUACAGAAAUGGUCCCCCAGGAACAAGGUCAAAGGUAGGCUAUAGGCUUAUAAUAUGAAAAUGUUAAAUGUUGCGAUUAUCCUGAUAAUCAUCAAACUAUUCUUAAAUAUAUUUGUAGCAUCGCAGAUGGGAGACUUGUUUUGCAGCUGAAAAACAAUCAAUCAGUCACAGAAUCUUAAAUAAGUAAUCAUAAGCUCUUCCUGCAAAAAUAAAGGACAAUUAAUGGUGGUAACCUCAUCCAUCGGUUAUUUUUAGGGUUAGGGUUUUUAAUUUGGAAUGCAAGUGUUUUGGGCUCUGGUAAAGUUAUAAGAUAUAAAGCUAGUCCACUAGUCAAAAGAGUCAUUCUGAAACUUUAAGUUGUCAGUCAACACCCUGGUGUCGGCCUUUCCAGUGAGGCUAAGAAGUAUGACAGGCCAUUAACUGCAGCCAACCCUCAUAAUGUGAGAAGGAAGGAAGUCAGGCUUGUCUUCACAGCUUGAUCUCAGUCUCACGCUCACUCUGACGAACGUUGUCUUUCAGGAACAUGUCUUUCUCCACUGAAAGACGUUCGUUGAGGUGUGUUAUAUUUGUUGUGUACAUGAUUUAUCUGUAUCAUGCUCCCUCCAGGUUGGGGGAGAGCUCCUGCCUCAAGUGGAGGAGUUUAAGUAUCAUGGGGUCUUGUUCACGAGUGAGGGAAGGAUAGCGUGUGAGAUUGACAGGCGGAUCGGUGCAGCGGCC